Acanthosepion pharaonis is the source of this 114-nucleotide non-coding RNA. NCBI's taxonomy places the organism in Eukaryota, Metazoa, Mollusca, Cephalopoda, Sepiida, Sepiidae. The record is from the annotation of a GenBank genome assembly.
UUACGACCAUAUCGCGUUGAAACACUAGUCUCCGUACAAACACCGAAGUUAAGCAAAGUAGAGCCAGUUCAUUACCUAAAUGGGUGACCACUUGGGAAUACCAGGUGCUGUAAU